GACGAACGCUGGCGGCGUGCUUAACACAUGCAAGUCGAACGGGCCUGUCUUCUUUUUUGGGGGGUGGGUUGAGUGGCGAACGGGUGAGUAUCACGUGAGUAACCUGCCCUUCGGUCCUGGAUAACCGCUUGAAAGGGCGGCUAAUACGGGGUGGUCCGGUUGGUCCGCAUGGGCUGGUCGGGAUAGAUUCACUGUUUUUGGUGUUUCGGCGGGGGAUGGGCUCGCGGCCUAUCAGCUUGUUGGUGGGGUGAUGGCCUACCAAGGCGGUGACGGGUAGCCGGCCUGAGAGGGUGGGCGGCCAGACGGGGACUGAGAUACGGCCCAGACUCCUGCGGGAGGCAGCAGUGGGGGGUAUUGCACAAUGGGCGGAAGCCUGAUGCAGCGACGUCGCGUGAGGGAUGGAGGCCUUCGGGUUGUGAACCUCUGUUUCCGGUGGUGAAGGCCCUGUCCGUGUGGUGGGGUUGACGGUAGCCGGGGAUGAAGCGCCGGCUAACUACGUG
Molecule: ribosomal RNA, 500 nt
Filed under: uncultured bacterium
Lineage: Bacteria
Description: partial 16S ribosomal RNA
Rfam family: Bacterial small subunit ribosomal RNA
Source: RNAcentral